RNAcentral lists this small nuclear RNA (297 nucleotides) under Erinaceus europaeus (western European hedgehog). RNAcentral describes it as "7SK RNA". It matches the Rfam family "7SK RNA". Rfam says of the family: 7SK was discovered as an abundant small nuclear RNA in the mid-70s but a possible function has only recently been suggested. Two independent studies have found that 7SK RNA binds the CDK9/cyclin T complex (known as elongation factor P-TEFb). P-TEFb activates transcription by phosphorylating the C-terminal domain of RNA polymerase II. Lineage: Eukaryota; Metazoa; Chordata; Mammalia; Eulipotyphla; Erinaceidae. The record is from Rfam by way of RNAcentral.
GGAUGUGAGGGCGAUCUGGCUGCGACACCUGUCACCCCAUUCAUCGCCAGGGUUGAUUUGGCUGAUCUGGCUGGCUAGGCGAGUGUCCCCUUCCUCCCUCACCACUCCAUGUGUGUCCUUCCCGAAGCUGCCUUCCCCAAAUAGAGACAGACCAGUCUUCGGUUGAGGGUAUUCCAGUAGCUAUGCUCCCCUGCUAGAACCUCCAAACAAGCUCUCAAGGUCCAAAUGAGCUAUUUUGUGGCACAACAAAGUAGCUUGUUUUGUGUUUGUUGUGUUUUAGGCACUUUACAACAUGAA